This 403-nucleotide ribosomal RNA is filed under the name uncultured bacterium. RNAcentral describes it as "bacterial SSU rRNA". It matches the Rfam family "Bacterial small subunit ribosomal RNA", at positions 355 to 775 of the family's 1533-position model. The record is from RNAcentral.
UGGGGAAUUUUGCGCAAUGGGGGAAACCCUGACGCAGCAACGCCGCGUGGAGGAUGAAGUCCCUUGGGACGUAAACUCCUUUCGAUCGGGACGAUAAUGACGGUACCGGAAGAAGAAGCCCCGGCUAACUUCGUGCCAGCAGCCGCGGUAAUACGAGGGGGGCAAGCGUUGUUCGGAAUUAUUGGGCGUAAAGGGCGCGUAGGCGGUGCGGUAAGAGUGUUGUGAAAUCUUCGGGCUCAACUCGAAGUCUGCAACGCUGACUGCCGUGCUUGAGUGUGGGAGAGGUGAGUGGAAUUCCUGGUGUAGCGGUGAAAUGCGUAGAUAUCAGGAGGAACACCUGUGGCGAAAGCGGCUCACUGGACCACAACUGACGCUGAUGCGCGAAAGCUAGGGGAGCAAACAG